This 465-nucleotide ribosomal RNA is filed under the name uncultured bacterium. Its description in RNAcentral is "partial 16S ribosomal RNA". It matches the Rfam family "Bacterial small subunit ribosomal RNA", at positions 338 to 795 of the family's 1533-position model. The record is from RNAcentral.
CCUACGGGGGGCUGCAGUGGGGAAUUUUGGACAAUGGGCGCAAGCCUGAUCCAGCUAUUCCGCGUGUGGGAAGACGGCCUUCGGGUUGUAAACCACUUUUGUAGAGAACGAAAAGUCUGUUGAUAAUACCGAUAGAUGAUGACGGUACUCUAAGAAUCAGCACCGGCUAACUACGUGCCAGCAGCCGCGGUAAUACGUAGGGUGCGAGCGUUAAUCGGAAUUACUGGGCGUAAAGGGUGUGCAGGCGGUUUUGCAAGAUGGAUGUGAAAGCCCCGGGCUUAACCUGGGAAAGCCAUACAUGACUGCAAGACUAGAGUGCGUCAGAGGGGGGUGGAAUUCCAAGUGUAGCAGUGAAAUGCGUAGAUAUUUGGAAGAACACCGAUGGCGAAGGCAGCCCCCUGGGACGCAACUGACGCUCAUACACGAAAGCGUGGGGAGCAAACAGGAUUAGAUACCCCAGUAGUC